UACGUAGGGGGCGAGCGUUGUCCGGAAUUAUUGGGCGUAAAGAGCGUGUAGGCGGUUCGGUAAGUCUGCCGUGAAAACCUGGGGCUCAACCCCGGGCGUGCGGUGGAUACUGCCGGGCUAGAGGGUGGUAGAGGCGAGUGGAAUUCCCGGUGUAGCGGUGAAAUGCGCAGAUAUCGGGAGGAACACCAGUAGCGAAGGCGGCUCGCUGGGCCAUUCCUGACGCUGAGGAGCGAAAGCCAGGGGAGCAAACGGG
Molecule: ribosomal RNA, 253 nt
Filed under: uncultured bacterium
Lineage: Bacteria
Description: partial 16S ribosomal RNA
Rfam family: Bacterial small subunit ribosomal RNA
Source: RNAcentral